UAACGCGAAGAACCUUACCAAGGCUUGACAUACACCGGAAACGGCCAGAGAUGGUCGCCCCCUUGUGGUCGGUGUACAGGUGGUGCAUGGUUGUCGUCAGCUCGUGUCGUGAGAUGUUGGGUUAAGUCCCGCAACGAGCGCAACCCUCGUUUUAUGUUGCCAGCGCGUUAUGGCGGGGACUCAUAGGAGACUGCCGGGGUCAACUCGGAGGAAGGUGGGGAUGACGUCAAAUCAUCAUGCCCCUUAUGUCUUGGGCUUCACGCAUGCUACAAUGGCCGGUACAAAGGGCUGCAAUACCGUAGGUGGAGCGAAUCCCAAAAAGCCGGUCUCAGUUCGGAUUGAGGUCUGCAACUCGACCUCAUGAAGUCGGAGUCGCUAGUAAUCGCAGAUCAGCA
Molecule: ribosomal RNA, 395 nt
Filed under: uncultured bacterium
Lineage: Bacteria
Description: bacterial SSU rRNA
Rfam family: Bacterial small subunit ribosomal RNA
Source: RNAcentral